AUUAAUUUGGGUGACCUGUUUGGAUUUCUUCAUUACUAACAGAUAGGAUACAUGGGUUUCUCUAUAUUUGCUUUGUUAUUUUAAUUUCAAUUGUUAUUUUAAUUUCAAUUUAUCUUCUUUACUGUCUUAAUCAAACUGUGGAAUUCUUUUAGAUAGGCUUCAUUUAAGGGUGAAAUGGGGUUUGUACAAGGAUGCAAGAAGAAGAAGAAGAAGAAGGGGAGGAGAUCAAGCAAAGCUCAGAUCUUUUUUAGGGUAUAAAAUGAGUAGAAAGAGGUUAUGAUCCUACAUAUGCCCUUUACUUCAUGUCAUGUCCUGUCUUCUAUCACUAAAUCAGGUGCUAGAAGGAAAGAUUACCCGCUAUUAUGUAUCAUUGGUUAAUUAGCUUGGCAUAAAUAUAUAUACAUAUAAUGUUUGAUGUGAAAAUAUGUAAGGAGUUCUAUGGAUGAAAGUAGGGCA
This 456-nucleotide unclassified non-coding RNA is filed under the name Hevea brasiliensis (rubber tree). The record is from RNAcentral. Lineage: Eukaryota; Viridiplantae; Streptophyta; Magnoliopsida; Malpighiales; Euphorbiaceae.